CGGUAUUAUGACCGUGCGAAGGUAGCAUAAUCAUUAGUCUUUUAAUUGGAGGCUGGAAUGAAUGGUUAGACGAGAAAUUAACUGUCUUGAAUUUUGAAACUUGAAUUUAACUUUUAAGUGAGAAGGCUUAAAUGGGCUAGGGGGACGAUAAGACCCUAUAAAGUUUGUACAUUAGGCUAAUUAAGAGUGAUUUAGAUUUAUAAGGCUUUAUUAUUAGGGGGUGUUAAGUUGGGGCGACUAGGAUAUAAUUUAUAUAACUGUUUCUUUAUUAUAAUCAGAAAUAUUUGAGUUUAUGAUCCUUUUUUAGGAUUUUUAGAGUAAAUUACUUUAGGGAUAACAGCGUAAUUUUUUUUGAGAGUUCAUAUCGAUAAAAGAGUUUGCGACCUCGAUGUUGAAUUAAAAUUUCUUUGUGAUGCAGCAGUUACAUGAGAAGG
This 434-nucleotide ribosomal RNA is filed under the name Cherax parvus. RNAcentral describes it as "partial 16S ribosomal RNA". It matches the Rfam family "Archaeal large subunit ribosomal RNA", at positions 2011 to 2644 of the family's 2987-position model. The record is from RNAcentral. Lineage: Eukaryota; Metazoa; Arthropoda; Malacostraca; Decapoda; Parastacidae.